Molecule: non-coding RNA, 125 nt
Organism: Triticum aestivum (bread wheat)
Lineage: Eukaryota; Viridiplantae; Streptophyta; Magnoliopsida; Poales; Poaceae
Source: Rfam
UAAGUUUUCCCUCCGUCCGGAAAUACUUGUGGGAGAAAUGGAUGAACCUAGAUGUAUUUUAGUUAUAGAUACAUCCAAUUUUAUCCAUUUCUUCGACAAGUAUUUUGGGACGAAGGGAGUAUAUG